This is a non-coding RNA of Nicotiana tabacum (common tobacco), 758 nucleotides long. The record is from RefSeq and is a predicted model, not a curated record. Lineage: Eukaryota; Viridiplantae; Streptophyta; Magnoliopsida; Solanales; Solanaceae.
GGCACCACAUCCAUCUCUCUCGUUCUCACUGAGAAAACAGUUGUUGUCACUGAGCAAAAUCGAAGGUUCUCCUCUUCAAUUUAAGUGAAAUUUCUAUUUCAAAUGUUUAGAUCGAUCCUACGUAAUUCUCUAUUGUUCUUAAGAAUUUGAGAAAUGACCGGAAAAAUCCCUGCCGGAGAAAAUUUCAAUAAAAUGGGGGAUUUUUUCUGUGAACACGGUUCGCAGACUCAUUCAAAUCGCUGAGAAUAAUAUCAAUCUGCUUGAAGCCAAACGCAGAGAGAUACUAAUUGGAAAAAUUGCUAUAGCUGAACACCAUAUCAUCACUGAUCUGGAAAUCCUCAUCAAAAACGAACAAGUUAUAAAGAAAAUUGUGGAAGAUAUUUUGAUGAAGCUUAUUGGAGAUCAGCAACGUCAAGUAAAGAAGGAUGCAGAAACAACGACUGAUGAGAAAUCUAAGAAAGACUGUUGGGACUGAAGAGUUGAAGGAAGGUAAAGUAGAAGAUAUGAUGCUGAUACAAAAGGAGAAACGGAGAGCUCAUACUGUUGGUAUGGUGGUCCUUUAACAAGUUGUUUGUGAUAUAAAUAAAUAGUUGUUGGCAGGAUAAUGAUAUGAGUUGAGCUUACACAAAGAAAUAAGAAUUUAUAUAGGGGGGACCCAACUUGUUAGGAAUGAGGCUUAGUUAUUUUUGUAGAGAACAUUUGUACUCUUUAUUUUUAAUUAAAUAGAGAGGCAUUAGAGCUGACGUUGAGGCUGCUAA